GUGAAUCAUCAAAUCUUUGAACGCAAAUUGCACUCUCCUCGGAGAGUAUGCCUGUUUGAGGGUCAGCCUGUAAAAAAUCGACAUCGUUGCUGUUUCGCGGUGGCGUUCGUCGGAAAUUGGGUCAUCUUAAAUCUUUUUGUUUUAAGCGACUUAAAAUUUUCUUUUUGUUUCAUGAAAGUUUUCUAGGAUUAUUUUCUUUAAACUUCAAGGUUAUGGUUUUUUAUUGACGUUGACAUUCAUAU
This 242-nucleotide unclassified non-coding RNA is filed under the name Glomus sp. Its description in RNAcentral is "partial contains 5.8S ribosomal RNA and internal transcribed spacer 2". The stretch from base 1 to 65 matches the Rfam family "5.8S ribosomal RNA", at positions 84 to 154 of the family's 154-position model. Lineage: Eukaryota; Fungi; Glomeromycota; Glomeromycetes; Glomerales; Glomeraceae. The record is from RNAcentral.